RNAcentral lists this ribosomal RNA (611 nucleotides) under uncultured bacterium. RNAcentral's name for it is "bacterial SSU rRNA". It matches the Rfam family "Bacterial small subunit ribosomal RNA", at positions 338 to 958 of the family's 1533-position model. The record is from RNAcentral.
CCUACGGGAGGCAGCAGUGAGGAAUAUUGGACAAUGGGCGCAAGCCUGAUCCAGCCAUGCCGCGUGCAGGAAGACGCAUCUAUGGUGUGUAAACUGCUUUUGUACAGGAAGAAACACUCCCUCGUGAGGGAGCUUGACGGUACUGUAAGAAUAAGGAUCGGCUAACUCCGUGCCAGCAGCCGCGGUAAUACGGAGGAUCCAAGCGUUAUCCGGAAUCAUUGGGUUUAAAGGGUCCGUAGGCGGUUUAAUAAGUCAGUGGUGAAAUCUGGUCGCUCAACGAUCAAACGGCCAUUGAUACUGUUAGACUUGAAUUAUAAGGAAGUAACUAGAAUAUGUAGUGUAGCGGUGAAAUGCUUAGAUAUUACAUGGAAUACCAAUUGCGAAGGCAGGUUACUACUUAUGGAUUGACGCUGAUGGACGAAAGCGUGGGGAGCGAACAGGAUUAGAUACCCUGGUAGUCCACGCCGUAAACGAUGGAUACUAGCUGUUGGGCGCAAGUUCAGUGGCUAAGCGAAAGUGAUAAGUAUCCCACCUGGGGAGUACGUUCGCAAGAAUGAAACUCAAAGAUUAGUACGGCGNGAGAGAGCGACGACGACGACGAGGAGGAGGNG